AUUGAACGCUGGCGGCAGGCCUAACACAUGCAAGUCGAACGGUAACAGGAAGAAGCUUGCUUCUUUGCUGACGAGUGGCGGAAGGGUGAGUAAUGUCUGGGAAACUGCCUGAUGGAGGGGGAUAACUACUGGAAACGGUAUCUAAUACCGCAUAACGUCGCAAGACCAAAGAGGGGGACCUUCGGGCCUCUUGCCAUCGGAUGCGCCCAGAUGGGAUUAGCUAGUAGGUGGGGUAACGGCUCACCUAGGCGACGAUCCCUAGCUGGUCUGAGAGGAUGACCAGCCACACUGGAACUGAGACACGGUCCAGACUCCUACGGGAGGCAGCAGUGGGGAAUAUUGCACAAUGGGCGCAAGCCUGAUGCAGCCAUGCCGCGUGUAUGAAGAAGGCCUUCGGGUUGUAAAGUACUUUCAGCGGGGAGGAAGGGAGUAAAGUUAAUACCUUUGCUCAUUGACGUUACCCGCAGAAGAAGCACCGGCUAACUCCGUG
RNAcentral lists this ribosomal RNA (490 nucleotides) under uncultured bacterium. Its description in RNAcentral is "partial 16S ribosomal RNA". It matches the Rfam family "Bacterial small subunit ribosomal RNA", at positions 30 to 507 of the family's 1533-position model. The record is from RNAcentral.